AGAGUUUGAUCAUGGCUCAGAUUGAACGCUGGCGGCAGGCCUAACACAUGCAAGUCGAGCGGUAGCACAGAGAGCUUGCUCUCGGGUGACGAGCGGCGGACGGGUGAGUAAUGUCUGGGAAACUGCCUGAUGGAGGGGGAUAACUACUGGAAACGGUAGCUAAUACCGCAUAACGUCGCAAGACCAAAGUGGGGGACCUUCGGGCCUCAUGCCAUCAGAUGUGCCCAGAUGGGAUUAGCUAGUAGGUGGGGUAACGGCUCACCUAGGCGACGAUCCCUAGCUGGUCUGAGAGGAUGACCAGCCACACUGGAACUGAGACACGGUCCAGACUCCUACGGGAGGCAGCAGUGGGGAAUAUUGCACAAUGGGCGCAAGCCUGAUGCAGCCAUGCCGCGUGUGUGAAGAAGGCCUUCGGGUUGUAAAGCACUUUCAGCGGGGAGGAAGGCGAUAAGGUUAAUAACCUUGUCGAUUGACGUUACCCGCAGAAGAAGCACCGGCUAACUCCGUGCCAGCAGCCGCGGUAAUACGGAGGGUGCAAGCGUUAAUCGGAAUUACUGGGCGUAAAGCGCACGCAGGCGGUCUGUCAAGUCGGAUGUGAAAUCCCCGGGCUUAACCUGGGAACUGCAUUCGAAACUGGCAGGCUAGAGUCUUGUAGAGGGGGGUAGAAUUCCAGGUGUAGCGGUGAAAUGCGUAGAGAUCUGGAGGAAUACCGGUGGCGAAGGCGGCCCCCUGGACAAAGACUGACGCUCAGGUGCGAAAGCGUGGGGAGCAAACAGGAUUAGAUACCCUGGUAGUCCACGCCGUAAACGAUGUCGAUUUGGAGGUUGUGCCCUUGAGGCGUGGCUUCCGGAGCUAACGCGUUAAAUCGACCGCCUGGGGAGUACGGCCGCAAGGUUAAAACUCAAAUGAAUUGACGGGGGCCCGCACAAGCGGUGGAGCAUGUGGUUUAAUUCGAUGCAACGCGAAGAACCUUACCUGGUCUUGACAUCCACAGAACUUUCCAGAGAUGCUUUGGUGCCUUCGGGAACUGUGAGACAGGUGCUGCAUGGCUGUCGUCAGCUCGUGUUGUGAAAUGUUGGGUUAAGUCCCGCAACGAGCGCAACCCUUAUCCUUUGUUGCCAGCGGUUAGGCCGGGAACUCAAAGGAGACUGCCAGUGAUAAACUGGAGGAAGGUGGGGAUGACGUCAAGUCAUCAUGGCCCUUACGACCAGGGCUACACACGUGCUACAAUGGCAUAUACAAAGAGAAGCGACCUCGCGAGAGCAAGCGGACCUCAUAAAGUAUGUCGUAGUCCGGAUUGGAGUCUGCAACUCGACUCCAUGAAGUCGGAAUCGCUAGUAAUCGUAGAUCAGAAUGCUACGGUGAAUACGUUCCCGGGCCUUGUACACACCGCCCGUCACACCAUGGGAGUGGGUUGCAAAAGAAGUAGGUAGCUUAACCUUCGGGAGGGCGCUUACCACUUUGUGAUUCAUGACUGGGGUGAAGUCGUAACAAGGUAACCGUAGGGGAACCUGCGGUUGGAUCACCU
This 1528-nucleotide ribosomal RNA is filed under the name Klebsiella pneumoniae. Its description in RNAcentral is "bacterial SSU rRNA". It matches the Rfam family "Bacterial small subunit ribosomal RNA". Lineage: Bacteria; Pseudomonadati; Pseudomonadota; Gammaproteobacteria; Enterobacterales; Enterobacteriaceae. The record is from RNAcentral.